RNAcentral lists this small RNA (104 nucleotides) under Arabidopsis thaliana (thale cress). RNAcentral's name for it is "ATSL278600". Lineage: Eukaryota; Viridiplantae; Streptophyta; Magnoliopsida; Brassicales; Brassicaceae. The record is from RNAcentral.
UUUUUGUUUGAGAAACUAUUUGGGUUUCUCUUUGAUGGAGAUGCUCUUUGACUAUAUAUUUUCGGUUAAAUUUUGCCAAUUUUUUUUUAAUUUUUUAAUAUGCU